UUUGUUUCCAUUAAAUUUUUAAACCAAGUAAAAAAAAUCAAUUCAUAUUGCAACAAGAGUUGCACUAGAUAUUCUUGAAGAGACAUUCCUAGAGAGAUUAGAAUUGUCCAAUCAGCAGCACUGGAAAGAAAUUGCAACAAAGCUCGAUGAAGCCUUAUCAAGGCAAAUGCAAUCAGGAAAGAAAAGAGAAUGAAAAAAAAAAAAUAUAUAUAUAUAUGAAACAAAGAAACGAGACAAAAGUCAUCUGUAUUCUAUAAGCGAACGUUCGAAUACUGUGAGUCAGUCAGUAGUUGUAAAUGAAUGGAAAUAUAGCGGAAUUUUCAAUGAUCAAUUAAAAGUCAGUGGCACUUUCAAGCUUUCAACUUUGAGAAUGCAUAAUAUUGUGAUUAUUAUUAUUUCUUGUAACCUUCUCAAGGCUUUUGUUAAAAUGUCAACAAUUAUUACACACGAUUUGUAAUCUAAUUAAGGAAAUCGUUAAAAUCGUUACGAAAAAAUUAAUUCAUCAUAUUUUUUUAAAUAUAUGAAGUAAAAAAUUUUUUACCUCGAACAACUAUACGAAUUUUACUAUAUUUGCGAAAUUUUUAAUUGCUUCAGUUGUGACUAUUGCCAUUCUGAAAAAACUUAUCGCUGUUCCAGUGCAUUUACUUUGUUAUUAUUGUCUCAUCGUCAUUAAAAGCCUUCCGGAACAGAAAUAAACUUUUGUCAGAUUUUAAUAAGAAAUUUGCUUUGAAGAAAUAAUCCUUUGGGGAGAACGAGGCAAAAAUCAAAUUGCAACAUCUAUCUGAAAAAAAUUCCACCUCAUAAUGGAAUAAAUAAUAUUACGAAAAUAUACAAAAAUGGCAAUAAACAGAAGUACGCACACAGUAUGUACAUGAUUACUAAUUUCAAUUCUGUAUUUUGUAACACCAG
Leptopilina heterotoma is the source of this 909-nucleotide long non-coding RNA. RefSeq lists it as uncharacterized. The record is from RefSeq and is a predicted model, not a curated record. The transcript is spliced from 3 exons. NCBI's taxonomy places the organism in Eukaryota, Metazoa, Arthropoda, Insecta, Hymenoptera, Figitidae.